Molecule: long non-coding RNA, 4186 nt
Filed under: Marmota monax (woodchuck)
Lineage: Eukaryota; Metazoa; Chordata; Mammalia; Rodentia; Sciuridae
Source: RNAcentral
AUUUCAGAAUCAGAAAAUAGAAAUUAUCUAUUGUCUAUUAUCAAAAAUAAAAAGGGAUGUUUCAUAGUGAUAAAGGGGUUAGUUCAUCCAAUAAGACAAGACAGUCCAAAGUAUAUAUGGAUUUAAUAACAGAGAUUCAAAAUACAUGAAGCAAUAUCUGAUGGAACUGAAAGGAGAAAGAGGCAAAUACACAAAAAUAGUUGGAAAUUUCAACCUCAACUCUUAGUAACUGAUUAAAGAAGUAGAAAUAACCAUAAAGCCACAGAAUACUAUCAACCAGUAUGACAUGACUGAUAUUUAUAGAAUGCCCUACUCAGUAAAAGAAUAAUAUACAUUUUCUUCAAGUCUACGUGAAGGUUUUGUCAAAAUGAACAAUAUACCGGGCUAUAAAAUUAGUUACAAUAUAUUUAAAAUAAUUGAAGUCAUGCAGAAUAUGUUAUUCAGCCACAGCAGAAAUAAUAAUAUAAAUAUUCUUGGAAAAAUACCCAAAUAGUUUGAAACAAACACAUUUCUACAUAAUCCAUGGCCAAAAAGAAAUUUAAAAAAUAAAAUUACAAUUUGUGAGAUGUAGCUAACACAGUUACUAGAGAAAAUUUCAUUUCAUUUAAUGAUCUUAUUAAGAAAACAAAUAUUUUAAUGAUCUUUUCUCCUCUUACAAACCCAUAAAAAAGAACAAAUUAAACCUAAAGUAAGCAGAAAGGAGGAAAUAUAAAGAUAAAACCACGAAUUAAUGAUACAGAAAACAGGAAAACGAUACAGAAAACCCAAUGAAAUCAAGAACAGAUUCACUAAAAAAAUCAAGCUUCUUGCUAGCCUAUAAGGUGAAAGGUGAGAAAAUAUGAAUUACCAAUCUCAGAAAUGCAAAAAGGGACAUCACUAUAGAUUCUACAGACAUUAGAAAGAUGACCAUGGAAUAUUGUGAACAAUUUUAUGCCAAUACAUUUGAAUAAUUAAAUGAAGCACAUUCAAGAAUAAAAAUACUGAAAAGCUCUAUAUUUAUUUUAAAAUUUAAGUCUAUAAUUUAAAACUUGUUUUCAACCUUCAGACCCAAAUAACUUCUCUGGCAUAUUCUAUCAAAUAUUUAAGAAAUAAAAUACCAAUCCUACACAAAUGCUUUUAUAUAAAGUAGAAGAGAAGGCUUGCCUUCUAACUUAUUUUAUGAAUCCAGCAUUAUCCUGAUACCAAAACCAAAAUUAUUACUACAAAGCUAUCAAUGUCCCUAAUGAACAUACAUGCAAAAAUCCUCAACAAAGUAUUAAGUUAAAUACAGCAAUAUAUAAAAAAGAAUAAAUACUAUGGCAAAGCAGGGUUUAUCCCAGAGAUGCAAUCUUAAUUUAACCUUUGAAAAUCAAGUAAUGUGAUUCACAUUAAAAGACAAAAAGACAAACCUAUGUGAUAAUCUCAAUAGAUGGAAACCAAGACUGGAGAAAAAUCAGAACUCAUUCAUGAUGGAAGCACUUGGGAGACUGGAAUAGAAUGAACUUCCUUAAACUGAUGCAUGGAAACACUAAGGAUCCAAUGUCUAACAUCAUGCUCAUCAGUGAACACUGUAUGCUUAUCUUAAAAUUGGAAAGAGGCACUAUUAUCUUCUCUCUCUGUUUUUUUCAACUUUAUACUAGAAGUCUUUAAAGGAAAUGAAGUAGGAAAAAGGAAGAAAUAAAUUUAAAAGGAGGACGUAAAAUGAUCUUUAUUUACAGUGAACAUAAUUUUGUAUGUAGAAAAUCUUAAAGAAUCUACAAAGAAGAAUAAAAAUAAUCAGAGUUGACCAAAAUUACACAAUGCAAGGACAAUACACCAAAAAUCAGUGGUAUUUCUAUAGUCCAGCAAUGAAUAAUUGGAUAUUUGGAUAAAAGACUAUCAUUUAAAAUAGUGUUAAACAACAUAAAAUACUAAGAAUACAUUUACUAAAGUUUUUGAAACAUUUCUAUGCUAAAAACUAUAUGCAUAUGGAUCAGAAGACUGAAUAUUGUUAAGAUAUCAGUUGUCUUCAAAUUAUUCUAUGGAUUCAAUAGAAUAUCAAGCUGAUUCUUAAGUUUGUAUGAAAACUCAAAGCUCUUAGAAUAGCCAAGACAAUUUUGAAAUGGAAGAAAACUUGGAUGGGUAUAAAAUACCUAAUUUUAAGAAUCACCAAAAGCUACAGUAAGCAAGAGAGCAUAAUAUUGGAAUAAAAGAAAACACAGAAAUAGACUCAUACGCAGAUGAUCAACUGGUUUUUGUCAAAGUUUUUGUCAAUUCAGUGAGAAAAAUGAGUCUUUUUAGAAUAGUGUUGGAAUAAUUGGUCAUUUGAAAAACAAUGAACUCUGACCCUUAUGGCACAUCAUCCAUUAAAAAGCAACUCACUUUAUAAGUAACUUAUAAAAAUAUAAUGAAUUAUAUACUUAAGUGUAGAGUUAAAAUUGUACAACUCUGGAAGAAACCUUAGGAGAAAAAUUCUGUGACCUUGGUUAGGCAAAGAGAGUUCUUAGGACACAAAAAGCACAAACCAAAAGUUCUGAUGAGUUAAACUUGGUUAAAAUUAAAAAAAUUUUGUUCUUAAAAAGACAGUAUCAAGGAAAUUAAAAAGGUCACAGACCAGAUAAAAAUAUUUGUAAAACAUGUAUCUCUAAAGAACUUGUAUCCUGAAUAUAAAAAGAACUCUUACAACUAAAUAAUAAUAAGAAAAAUGGCCUGGUUUUUUCAAAGAAGUGCGGAAGAGUUAAACAAACUUCGCCAAACAAAACAUGAAUGACAAGUACAUGAAAAGAUGUUCAACAUUUAUUUGAUCAUUAGGAAAAUGCAAAUUAAAGCCACAGUGAGAUAGUUAUUAUACAACUACUGGAAUGACCAAAAAAAAAAAAAAAAGGCUGACCAUACUAAGUACUGAUAAUGAUGUGAAGUAACUAGCACUUUCAUACAUUGCCAAUGAGAAUGCAAAAAUUUGAUACUGACACUUUGGAAAACAGGUUUACAUAAAGUUACUUUAUGAUCCAGCAAUCCCACUCUUACAUGUAUACCCAAGAGGAAUAAAGACAUACAUAUAUCAAUCAGCACAAUGACUUACACAUGGUUUUCUUGAUAGUUUUAUUCAUAGUAGCCCUACACUAGAAAAAAAUCACAAUAAAUAGCUAAACUAUGGAACUACCUAGGUACCCUUCAAUAGAUGAAUAGAUAAAGAAAAUGGGAUUGCUAAUUCACAAUAAGGGCAGGGGUGGGCGCUAGGGAAGAAUGGAGUUACUUUAGAUAGAGUGGGGUGAAGGGAGACGAUAUGGGGAUAAGAAGGAUAGUAGAAUGAAACAGACAUUAUUACUUUAUGUAUAUAUGUGACUGCAUGACCAAUGUGAUUCUACAACAUGAACAAUCAGAAAAAUGAGAAAUUAUGCUCCAUUUAUGUAUGACAUAUCAAAGUGCCUAAAUGCAUUCUACAGUCAUGUAUAACUAAUUAGAACAAAUAAAAAAAUUAUAAAAUAAAAAUGUUCAUCAAUUAGUAAAUGAAUAAACCCAUAGUGCAAAUAUAUAUAUAUCUUUCAUUUAUUAGACUACAACUCAUUCAUUGAAAUACUACUGAUGCACACAACAAGGAUAAAUUUAGAACUAUUAUGCUAAGAAAAAGCAGAUACAAAAGACUACACGGUAUAUGAUUCUAUUCAUACAAAAUUCUAGAAAAGACAAAGGUAUGAUGAUAUAAAGCAGAUAGGUAAUGGCUGGAGUCUUGGGUGGGAGAAGGGAUUGAUAGUAGGAGGGGAACUUUCAGAAGAAAUGGAAAUGUACUGUAUUGUUUACAGUUGUGAUAACAAUAUACACCUUUGUCAAAACUCAAAAAAUGCACUUUUAAAAUGGAAGAUGGAAAAAUAAUGGAAUAUUUGUACCAUUACAAAGAUGCAAACUAAUGAUAUAUGUAAAAAUGUGGACAAAUCAUGCAGACAUGCUGUGAAAAAAGCCAGGUACACAAGAAUAAUACUAUGUUAUUUGGCUAAUUUGAAGUUCUAAAACAGGAAAAAAUUAUCUACAGUGAAAAAAGUGGAGAUGUGUUGCAUCUGAAGGAGGGCUAGGAACUGCAAAAUGCUUUAGGUCACUCUCUGGGUGGUGGGAAUAUAGUUUGAGUUUUGAGAGGCGUGAGUUACACAUGUUUAUGUAUUUGCCAAGGCUCAUUGAACUACACACUUAAGAGCUGUAAUUUCACUGUGUGCAAAUUAAACCUCAAUAAAAU